GGACGGAGCUAUUAGAAAGGACUCCCAUGCUUUGCAAGCAGGGGGUCGCCGGUUCGAUCCCGGCCACGUCCACCA
Molecule: transfer RNA, 75 nt
Filed under: Acidobacteria bacterium 13_2_20CM_58_27
Lineage: Bacteria; Pseudomonadati; Acidobacteriota
Also listed under: 1 other name
Description: tRNA-Ala
Source: RNAcentral